Molecule: non-coding RNA, 109 nt
Filed under: Platyophrya macrostoma
Lineage: Eukaryota; Ciliophora; Colpodea; Cyrtolophosidida; Platyophryidae
Source: RNAcentral
GAAGAAGAAGGUAGAGGAGAUGGACACACGAAAAUCCGGAUACGUCGAGAGACGAACUUCUUAACCCCCCUUUUUUUUUUUUUUCUCUUUCCUCUUUCUUUUGUUUAGC